AUACGUAGGUGGCAAGCGUUGUCCGGAAUUAUUGGGCGUAAAGCGCAUGUAGGCGGUUUGGUAAGUCGGUCGUGAAAAUGCGGUGCUUAACGCCGUAUGGCGAUUGAAACUGCUGAACUUGAGUGCAGGAGAGGAAAGGGGAACUCCCAGUGUAGCGGUGAAAUGCGUAGAUAUUGGGAAGAACACCGGUGGCGAAGGCGCCUUUCUGGACUGUGUCUGACGCUCAGAUGCGAAAGCCAGGGUAGCGAACGGGAUUAGAUCCCCCGGUAGUCCUGGCCGUAAACGAUGGGUACUAGGUGUGGGAGGUAUCGACUCCUUCCGUGCCGGAGUUAACGCAAUAAGUACCCCGCCUGGGGAGUACGGCCGCAAGGCUUAAACUCAAAUGAAUUGACGGG
Molecule: ribosomal RNA, 395 nt
Filed under: uncultured bacterium
Lineage: Bacteria
Description: partial 16S ribosomal RNA
Rfam family: Bacterial small subunit ribosomal RNA
Source: RNAcentral